This 347-nucleotide unclassified non-coding RNA is filed under the name Hevea brasiliensis (rubber tree). The record is from RNAcentral. Lineage: Eukaryota; Viridiplantae; Streptophyta; Magnoliopsida; Malpighiales; Euphorbiaceae.
GCUCAUCCUUACCUUCAAGGUCGCCGCUCGCCGCAUUCGAAAUACGAAAUUAGAAGACUUGUUCUCUAGGUAUCCGAACUCCGAAGUAACUACAAACCCUAGAACGAUCGAUUUUCAGUGAAAUGGCACGUACCAAACAAACCGCUCGCAAAUCUACUGGCGGGAAGGCCCCCCGAAAGCAACUCGCUACUAAGGCUGCAAGAAAGUCUGCACCUACCACUGGUGGAGUCAAGAAGCCUCAUCGUUAUCGCCCUGGUACCGUGGCUCUUCGUGAGAUCCGUAAGUACCAGAAAAGCACUGAACUCUUGAUCCGCAAGCUGCCUUUCCAGCGUCUUGUUCGUGAAAUU